This 493-nucleotide ribosomal RNA is filed under the name uncultured bacterium. RNAcentral describes it as "partial 16S ribosomal RNA". It matches the Rfam family "Bacterial small subunit ribosomal RNA", at positions 28 to 507 of the family's 1533-position model. The record is from RNAcentral.
GACGAACGCUGGCGGCGUGCUUAACACAUGCAAGUCGAACGGUGAAGGGACCGGUUUUUGCUGGUUCUGGAUGAGUGGCGAACGGGUGAGUAACACGUGAGUAACCUGCCCCCUUCUUCUGGAUAACCGCAUGAAAGUGUGGCUAAUACGGGAUAUUCUGCGCCUGCUGCAUGGUGGGUGUGGGAAGGAUAUUGUUUCGGUGGGGGAUGGGCUCGCGGCCUAUCAGCUUGUUGGUGGGGUGAUGGCCUACCAAGGCGGUGACGGGUAGCCGGCCUGAGAGGGUGGACGGUCACACUGGGACUGAGACACGGCCCAGACUCCUACGGGAGGCAGCAGUGGGGAAUAUUGCACAAUGGGCGCAAGCCUGAUGCAGCGACGCCGCGUGAGGGAUGGAGGCCUGCGGGUUGUAAACCUCUUUCGCCAGUGAAGCAGGCCUGUCCCUUUUGUGGGUGGGUUGACGGUAGCUGGAUAAGAAGCGCCGGCUAACUACGUG